GCCUAGAGUGGGCAUUCGUGCCCAUUGGGGAGAGGGGGUUUCACUGAAGUAAUCUCUGAAUGGUCCCCCAUUUAAAAAUCAAGACAGCAGUUUGUGUAUAGAUCAUGUGUCUGAAGUUUCACUGCUCAAUUCUCUAACAUUUAGGAGUUUAAAUCACUUAUGUAUUUGUUUAUGCAGCCCUAGCCACACCUACUCUGAUUGCGACUCACAGCCUGCAUGGAAAAAAAAAAAGAUUUCACUUUCAAUCAGAUGUAACUUUCUUUAAAAG
This is a non-coding RNA of Pelobates cultripes (western spadefoot toad), 268 nucleotides long. The record is from the annotation of a GenBank genome assembly. Lineage: Eukaryota; Metazoa; Chordata; Amphibia; Anura; Pelobatidae.